Molecule: ribosomal RNA, 625 nt
Filed under: Amphidinium carterae
Lineage: Eukaryota; Dinophyceae; Amphidiniales; Amphidiniaceae
Description: partial Eukaryotic large subunit ribosomal RNA
Rfam family: Eukaryotic large subunit ribosomal RNA
Source: RNAcentral
UCAGCUUGGUAAGGAUACCCCCUGAAUUUAAGCAUAUAAUUAAGGGGAGGAAAAGAAACUAACAAGGAUUCCUUUAGUAACGGCGAGUGAAACAGGAUGAGCUCACCUAUAAUCGGCAAUUUUUUGCCGAGUUGUGGUCUGUAGAAGCAUUGUCGGUCGAGGUUCCGGGCUAAGUCUCUUGGAAAAGAGCAGCUGAGAGGGUGACACUCCCGUUCUUGCCUGGGAUCUGCGAUCAUAGCACAUGCCUUCAACGAGUCGAGUUGCUUGGGAUUGCAGCUCAAAUGCGUGGUAUACUCCAUGUAAAGCUAAAUAUAGGUAGGAAACCGAUAGCGCACAAGUACUGUGAAGGAAAGAUGCAAAGAACUUUGAAAAGAGAGUUAAAGAGUACCUGAAAUUGCUGAAAGGGAAGCGAAGGAAACCAGUGCUUGGCUUGGUCAUAUUUCUCGAAUCGCUUGCGGUUUGGGCGCUGUGUCGUUGCCUUUGUCAUUUUUGCUUGUUCUCGGCGGAAACGUGUGUUCGGGAGGUAGCGCUUGCGUGAUACCGUUCACAUUAUUGCUGGGUUUGAGUGAGGCUGACGAAAUGGUUUUCUUUACCCCGUCUAGAAACACGGACCAAGGAGUCUAUU